CAAUAGCAUAUAUUAACGUUGUUGCAGUUAAAAAGCUCGUAGUUGGAUCUCUGUAGGAGCGCCAAUGUCCACCCACGUGUGAGUUGCAGCGGCGCUCCUGCAUCCUUCGGUUACCUCCGCUCGGCAUUCACUUGCCGGCGGUUGGCUCCGAAUAUUUACCUUGAGAAAAUUAGAGUGUUUCAGGCAGGCUAAGCCGGAAUACAUUAGCAUGGAAUAAUAGAAUAGGACUACGGUCUCGUUGUUGGUUUGAGGGACUGGAGUAAUGAUUAAUAGGGAUAGUUGGGGGCAUUAGUAUUUAAUUGUCAGAGGUGAAAUUCUCAGAUUAACUAAAGACUAACUUAUGCGAAAGCAUUUGCCAAGGAUGUUUNCAUUA
Molecule: ribosomal RNA, 373 nt
Filed under: uncultured eukaryote
Lineage: Eukaryota
Description: partial 18S ribosomal RNA
Rfam family: Eukaryotic small subunit ribosomal RNA
Source: RNAcentral